GAUGAACGCUGGCGGCGUGCCUAAUACAUGCAAGUAGAACGCUGAAGGAAGGAGCUUGCUCUUUCCGGAUGAGUUGCGAACGGGUGAGUAACGCGUAGGUAACCUGCCUGGUAGCGGGGGAUAACUAUUGGAAACGAUAGCUAAUACCGCAUAACAGUAGAUGUUGCAUGAUAUCUACUUAAAAGGUGCAAUUGCACCACUACCAGAUGGACCUGCGUUGUAUUAGCUAGUUGGUGAGGUAACGGCUCACCAAGGCGACGAUACAUAGCCGACCUGAGAGGGUGAUCGGCCACACUGGGACUGAGACACGGCCCAGACUCCUACGGGAGGCAGCAGUAGGGAAUCUUCGGCAAUGGACGGAAGUCUGACCGAGCAACGCCGCGUGAGUGAAGAAGGUUUUCGGAUCGUAAAGCCCUGUUGUAAGAGAAGAACGAGGGUGAGAGUGGAAAGUUCACACUGUGACGGUAUCUUACCAGAAAGGGACGGCUAACUACGUG
This 497-nucleotide ribosomal RNA is filed under the name uncultured bacterium. Its description in RNAcentral is "partial 16S ribosomal RNA". It matches the Rfam family "Bacterial small subunit ribosomal RNA", at positions 28 to 507 of the family's 1533-position model. The record is from RNAcentral.